RNAcentral lists this ribosomal RNA (386 nucleotides) under Enterobacter sp. VI52. Its description in RNAcentral is "bacterial SSU rRNA". It matches the Rfam family "Bacterial small subunit ribosomal RNA", at positions 969 to 1355 of the family's 1533-position model. Lineage: Bacteria; Pseudomonadati; Pseudomonadota; Gammaproteobacteria; Enterobacterales; Enterobacteriaceae. The record is from RNAcentral.
CCUUACCUACUCUUGACAUCCAGAGAACUUACCAGAGAUGGUUUGGUGCCUUCGGGAACUCUGAGACAGGUGCUGCAUGGCUGUCGUCAGCUCGUGUUGUGAAAUGUUGGGUUAAGUCCCGCAACGAGCGCAACCCUUAUCCUUUGUUGCCAGCGGUUCGGCCGGGAACUCAAAGGAGACUGCCAGUGAUAAACUGGAGGAAGGUGGGGAUGACGUCAAGUCAUCAUGGCCCUUACGAGUAGGGCUACACACGUGCUACAAUGGCGCAUACAAAGAGAAGCGACCUCGCGAGAGCAAGCGGACCUCAUAAAGUGCGUCGUAGUCCGGAUUGGAGUCUGCAACUCGACUCCAUGAAGUCGGAAUCGCUAGUAAUCGUAGAUCAGAAU